GUCCCGCAACGAGCGCAACCCUUAUCCUUGUUGCCAGCGGUCCGGCCGGGAACGUCAAGGAGACUGCCAGUGAUAAACUGGAGGAAGGCGGGGAUGACGUCAAGUCAUCAUGGCCCUUACGACCAGGGCUACACACGUGCUACAAUGGCGCAUACAAAGAGAAGCGACCUCGCGAGAGCAAGCGGACCUCAUAAAGUGCGUCGUAGUCCGGAUUGGAGUCUGCAACUCGACUCCAUGAAGUCGGAAUCGCUAGUAAUCGUGGAUCAGAAUGCCACGGUGAAUACGUUCCCGGGCCUU
RNAcentral lists this ribosomal RNA (297 nucleotides) under uncultured Enterobacteriaceae bacterium. RNAcentral describes it as "partial 16S ribosomal RNA". It matches the Rfam family "Bacterial small subunit ribosomal RNA", at positions 1084 to 1382 of the family's 1533-position model. Lineage: Bacteria; Pseudomonadati; Pseudomonadota; Gammaproteobacteria; Enterobacterales; Enterobacteriaceae. The record is from RNAcentral.